GAUUAUUAAAGAAUUUCGGUUGUCGAUGGGGAUGCGUUCCAUUAGGCAGUUGGCGGGGUAACGGCCCACCAAACCUACGAUGGAUAGGGGUUCUGAGAGGAAGGUCCCCCACAUUGGAACUGAGACACGGUCCAAACUCCUACGGGAGGCAGCAGUGAGGAAUAUUGGUCAAUGGACGAGAGUCUGAACCAGCCAAGUAGCGUGAAGGAUGACUGCCCUAUGGGUUGUAAACUUCUUUUAUACGGGAAUAAAGUGAGCCACGUGUGGCUUUUUGUAUGUACCGUAUGAAUAAGGAUCGGCUAACUCCGUGCCAGCAGCCGCGGUAAUACGGAGGAUCCGAGCGUUAUCCGGAUUUAUUGGGUUUAAAGGGAGCGUAGGCGGGUUGUUAAGUCAGUUGUGAAAGUUUGCGGCUCAACCGUAAAAUUGCAGUUGAUACUGGCGACCUUGAGUGCAACAGAGGUAGGCGGAAUUCGUGGUGUAGCGGUGAAAUGCUUAGAUAUCACGAAGAACUCC
Molecule: ribosomal RNA, 513 nt
Filed under: uncultured bacterium
Lineage: Bacteria
Description: bacterial SSU rRNA
Rfam family: Bacterial small subunit ribosomal RNA
Source: RNAcentral